This 227-nucleotide ribosomal RNA is filed under the name uncultured bacterium. RNAcentral's name for it is "partial 16S ribosomal RNA". It matches the Rfam family "Bacterial small subunit ribosomal RNA", at positions 122 to 334 of the family's 1533-position model. The record is from RNAcentral.
UAAUCUACCCCAGAAUCUGGAAUAACCUGCCGAAAGGCGGGCUAAUACUGGAUAGAGCGACGGAAUCCGUAAUUGGGUUUUUCGGGAAAGGGAGCUCGCAAGAGCCCUCGUUUUGGGAUGAGCCUGCGUCUCAUUAGCUAGUUGGUGGGGUAAAAGCCCACCAAGGCAUUGAUGAGUAGCUGGUCUGAGAGGAUGAUCAGCCACACUGGAACUGAAACACGGUCCAG